Molecule: long non-coding RNA, 434 nt
Filed under: Ananas comosus (pineapple)
Lineage: Eukaryota; Viridiplantae; Streptophyta; Magnoliopsida; Poales; Bromeliaceae
Description: long non-coding RNA (ACOM_LNC038584)
Source: RNAcentral
GGCUUGGACCUAGAUAGGUCAAUUCUAUAGGGUUAAGACCAACCCUUGAGUACUGUGAAAUGGAUUCCGGAAUCCUAGGACUUGUGGAACACCAAGAGUGGUGUGGGGUGUGUGCGACGAUUUCGCCGCCCGGGGCUAAAGAACCAUUGUCGUGGCAUGUGCGACGAUUUCGCCGCCGGAUGGUUGAGCCGGUUUGUGGAUUAUGCCGCAGGGUGACUUGAGCCAGUGCUAAGCGUGUGCGACGACUUCGCCGCCGGGUGGCUAAGUCAUUGAGUACGGUAAGUUGUUGAGCAGCCAGGGUGCGGACUAUCCGCAAAGGAUUGACUCAAGACCGAGUCGAGUGACAUAGAUGGCUAAGGUAUGAGCAACCUUAGGAAAGAAUCGCCAAUGAGCGUAAUAUGACCAAGUAAAGACUAGAGAAAAGCUAAUGAUCG